UGCCAAACAGCUAACCCAAAACCCAAAAAACAAUGAACCCAUAUAAAUAACCCCAAAACCUCUAACAAAACAAUAAACAAACCAUUUUCCCCCCUUAGUAUAGGUGAUAGAAAAG
RNAcentral lists this ribosomal RNA (115 nucleotides) under Acanthurus maculiceps. RNAcentral describes it as "partial 16S ribosomal RNA". The record is from RNAcentral. Lineage: Eukaryota; Metazoa; Chordata; Actinopteri; Acanthuriformes; Acanthuridae.